Melanotaenia boesemani (Boeseman's rainbowfish) is the source of this 497-nucleotide long non-coding RNA. RefSeq lists it as uncharacterized. The record is from RefSeq and is a predicted model, not a curated record. The transcript is spliced from 3 exons. Lineage: Eukaryota; Metazoa; Chordata; Actinopteri; Atheriniformes; Melanotaeniidae.
GAUAUCUGAGGAGGGUCAAACUCCGCGGCUGCAGCAGGGAGUUUCUGCAUGGUUAGUUGUAAAUAUUGUCUCUAAAUAUGUUGUCAAGUUUUUUUCAUAUUUGGUACAAUGUAGCUAACGGCAGCUUUUUACUGUCACAAACACAUACUGUGUCACUUUCUGAAAGUUUUUCAAUAUAUUGUGGAUAGGUGCACCUGUGGAAACUGUGAAACCAUGCCAACAGAAGCUGAAUGUGUUUGUUGCUUGGAGAUCCCACAGGUCACCAGGCGGCUACAGGAGGUUGAUGAAGACCUUACAUGUAUGGUAGACCAUCCAGGGUUUGAGCCGGUCUGCCUAAACAUAUACUCCCUGCAGAAUGCCAGCCAAAUAUACAGAGCUGACUAUGGUCGUUUGCAGCUCAGAGGCAUACACCGUCGUUUCAGGUAUUUGGCAUAUCGCAGCUUUGUGAGCUGGUGCUGGGGCUUCCUGGGACAAAGAAUUCGCGUUGUGAUUCCAGC